GCAGAAGAGAGAGGUGGACGGGAGGGAGGAAGGUGGACAGGAGUUAAGGAGGGGAGAAAGGCUCUGCCUAUCACUUUUUCCUUUCACUCCGUAAGGAACAUCAUCUAUUUCCACUACUCCAUACCAUGUGCUCUGCUCUGUGCUAAGGACACGCUCAGGCUUCGCACGCAUUUCAGACUAUGGAGGCUCCUGUCUAGCUAGUGAGAGAGGCAGUCACUAGCCAAAUCAGCAUCACCUAAAUGCAGGCGUAACGAUUACCACAGACUCCAUCAAGGAAACAGCCAAGAUUUUUAGAAAAAGGAUAAUAUGGAGGGAACUGAUUUUCAGGAGCAGAUUUGUGAAACCCAACCCUUCUGAACGUCCUGGUCAGAAGCUGUCUGACCUCUGAACCAAAAUCCUGUCCCUGCUUCCCUCCUGCCACCUUGACAGACCUUGCGUCACCUGCAGAAAACAUCCGUGUGCUCCACCCUUUGAAUUCAGAACGACAUAGUGGAUACUCCGUGGGGCUGCUGGAAUCUUCCAUUCCCACUGCCUUAUCUUAACCCAUAGAUUCGGCAAGGGAAAUGCAACUUUGAAUUUUCUGGCAUUUUCACAACAUUGAAGAAAAGAACAUAAAUAUAGUUGGGGGGAGGGGCGCGGAGAGAUAAGAUGAGCAUUUUUGUGCCCAGGUCUUUGGAACUUGAAGAGUUAACCCCCCAGUCCAGGGGAACAGGUGUUUUCCAGUGGGCCUGGGGGAGAGGGAAGGGGGCUCCCGGUCCCGGAGCCUUGCCUGCGGAGAUUGAUGGACUGCGGAGGAGCGGGCACGUCAGCAUCACCCCUGUCACCAUCAGCAGGAGAAGCGGCGGCUCCUGGAAUGACAUUGGAAGGUUUCUAGAUAUUGCUGUGAAUACGGUCCUCCGCUGUACAGUUGAAAACAAAGGCUGCUGGACCUCGCCUGACCUGCGGUUGCCUUUGCCCGGUUCCUGUUAGACGAACUCUACGACGCCGGAGUUUGGGCGCAGUGAACUUGAGAGAUCGUGGGGGAGGCGUCUUCAGAAGAAAGCCCCUGACCAUCUGCAUGGAGCAGUCCUCCCUCGGUGGCGGCUGGGUUUGCUGGCUCUGCUGAAGGCUGGCUGCAAGAGUCUUGUGAGGUUUGCCGCCCACUAGUGUCCUAUGGCGGGGACACAAUCGGCCUGCAGGUAGCACCACCUCCCUAUCUCCCAGGCUGAGGGUGCGGGCACCAAGGCCCAGCGUGCACUUCAGCGCAGCAGCCAAGAAAAUGCCCACACGCGCUUGUUUGUGUGGGCACACCCCUGGGUGCCUGCCCUGCUCUGGAGAGGUGGGCCACGCAUGGAAACCGAGGAAAUCGAAGUGCUCAUUUCCGAAAUACUAUUGAAUGCACUGCCUAAUGCAAAAUACAUUCUUUUUCACUACCUAUUAAUUAUUUAUGAGCCACAUUCAUAAUCUUACCCGUAGAAUUCAGCUAAUUUUACGAAACCUGGAUGCCACAUUUUGUAAAUGCAUCCACUUGAUAAACCCAUCCUUUUAUUUUGCAAACAUAAAUUUCCAAUCUACAGUGUUCACAGGUCUUUCUUUAUAAAAUGACCUCUCUCUCUCCCUCUCUCAAUCAAGUUUUAAUACGCAUUGAAUUGAGUCUCUUGUCGAAAUACUCCGUGCACCUUACUCCAGACACAUCUAACAUAAAAUACCUUGCCAGCUACCCGGAGGUCCAGGAAUUGGGGAUUAGAAUUGGCAAAUAUUUUAGUCAAAAUUAGUUCCCCUACCAGAAUGCUGUAUUGCGCUGGUUCUGCCCCCCGUGACUCACUGAUCCCCCGAGGCAGCAAACCGUGGUCACACCAAAAUGACAAAGGAGAGAGUCAAAAAGUGGAGAACGAUCCACUGGCAUUUAUUGAAGGUCUGCGUGGCAUUUUGUUUUCCUACAGAGGGCAUCUUGGAGGGGCAUGCAGCUUAAGUUAAAAGGCCUCGGAAUUUAGGUGAACCCUGAGAUUAUGGAUAGCUUUUUAAUCUGUUUAAUAAAGAUGGGGGAGAAAGGGAAGUGGAGGCAGCCCUGAAAUUGUUCACCUGAUAACAUUUCUUCCUUACAUACAUUUAUGUGAAUUAAAUAAAAAUCACCUUUGAAGUCCUUAAGGUGCAUUUGUAUUUA
This 2143-nucleotide long non-coding RNA is filed under the name Homo sapiens (human). RNAcentral's name for it is "HSALNT0404281". The record is from RNAcentral. Lineage: Eukaryota; Metazoa; Chordata; Mammalia; Primates; Hominidae.